UGGGGAAUUUUGGACAAUGGGCGCAAGCCUGAUCCAGCCAUGCCGCGUGCGGGAAGAAGGCCUUCGGGUUGUAAACCGCUUUUGUCAGGGAAGAAAAGGUUCUGGCUAAUACCUGGGACUCAUGACGGUACCUGAAGAAUAAGCACCGGCUAACUACGUGCCAGCAGCCGCGGUAAUACGUAGGGUGCAAGCGUUAAUCGGAAUUACUGGGCGUAAAGCGUGCGCAGGCGGUUAUGCAAGACAGAGGUGAAAUCCCCGGGCUCAACCUGGGAACUGCCUUUGUGACUGCAUGGCUAGAGUACGGUAGAGGGGGAUGGAAUUCCACGUGUAGCAGUGAAAUGCGUAGAUAUGCGGAAGAACACCGAUGGCGAAGGCAAUCCCCUUGAUCUGUACUGACGCUCAUGCACGAAAGCGUGGGGAGCAAACAGG
This 429-nucleotide ribosomal RNA is filed under the name bacterium. RNAcentral's name for it is "partial 16S ribosomal RNA". It matches the Rfam family "Bacterial small subunit ribosomal RNA", at positions 355 to 776 of the family's 1533-position model. The record is from RNAcentral.